Molecule: non-coding RNA, 157 nt
Filed under: Foraminifera environmental sample
Lineage: Eukaryota; Foraminifera
Source: RNAcentral
CAAGCUCAAAAACUCGACGCGCGAUGUGGCGGUCCCUCGUACGCUCCACGCCGGCAAAUACAGCAAGCGAGAGCGCGAGGAACUGCUGUCGAUCCAAGCGAAUCUGACGAAACGCAUCGGACAGGAACAAUACUUGAUCCUCUCACAAUUCAUCGAU